Molecule: ribosomal RNA, 253 nt
Filed under: uncultured bacterium
Lineage: Bacteria
Description: partial 16S ribosomal RNA
Rfam family: Bacterial small subunit ribosomal RNA
Source: RNAcentral
UACGGAGGGUGCAAGCGUUGUUCAGAAUUACUGGGCGUAAAGCGCGUGUAGGCGGCCGAUUAAGUCUGGUGUGAAAGCCCGGGGCUCAACCCCGGAACUGCAUUCGAUACUGCUGCGCUAGAGUACUGGAGAGGAGAUUGGAAUUUACGGUGUAGCAGUGAAAUGCGUAGAUAUCGUAAGGAAGACCAGUGGCGAAGGCGGAUCUCUGGACAGUUACUGACACUGAGGCACGAAGGCCAGGGGAGCAAACGGG